CGUGCAGAGGCGGGGAUAAAUACAUAAGACGAGAAGACCCUAUGGAGCUUUAGACCUAAAGUAAUUCAUGUUUAAUAUACUAUGAUAACAGUGAAAACUUAGUGAUACUUACUGAAGUGUCUUUGGUUGGGGCGACCGCGGGGUAAAACACAACCCCCAUGUGGACUGGGGAUAUUAUCCCUAAUACUCAGAGCCUCUACUCCAAGUAACAGAAAUUCUGACUUUUCUGAUCCGGUAUAACCGAUCAACGAACCGAGUUAC
Molecule: ribosomal RNA, 261 nt
Filed under: Melanogrammus aeglefinus (haddock)
Lineage: Eukaryota; Metazoa; Chordata; Actinopteri; Gadiformes; Gadidae
Description: partial 16S ribosomal RNA
Source: RNAcentral